UGUUUGCCACGCUGGUGAAUCUCGUGUAUGGCGCAGACAAACCUUAAUUGGUUAUGUUGAUGGAUGGGCAGGGUAUGCGUAAGCUGACACUACACAGUGCCUGAAUGCUGUUGGUCGCGGGUUGGAUGGCUGUGUUAGGGUUGUCGUCACCUUCUAUUGUGGGUGAGUGGCA
Molecule: long non-coding RNA, 172 nt
Organism: Anguilla rostrata (American eel)
Lineage: Eukaryota; Metazoa; Chordata; Actinopteri; Anguilliformes; Anguillidae
Exons: 3
Source: RefSeq, a predicted model, not a curated record